This is a long non-coding RNA of Oncorhynchus tshawytscha (Chinook salmon), 369 nucleotides long. The record is from Ensembl. NCBI's taxonomy places the organism in Eukaryota, Metazoa, Chordata, Actinopteri, Salmoniformes, Salmonidae.
GACUGACUGAAGGGGGUUCUGGAUACAGCCUAGUGACUGACUGGAUGGGGGUUCUGGAUACAGACUAGUGACUGACUGAAGGGGGAGUUCUGGAUACAGACUAGUGACUGACUGAAGGAGGGGUUCUGGAUACAGCCUAGUGACUGACUGAAGGGGGGUUCUGGAUACAGACUAGUGACUGACUGAAGGGGGGGUUCUGGAUACAGCCUAGUGACUGACUGAAUGGGGGUUCUGGAUACAGACUAGUGACUGACUGAAGGGGGUUUCUGGAUACAGACUAGUGACUGACUGAAUGGGGGUUCUGGAUACAGACUAGUGACUGACUGAAGGGGGUGUUCUGGAUACAGACUAGUGACUGACUGAAUGGGG